RNAcentral lists this long non-coding RNA (474 nucleotides) under Trifolium pratense (red clover). RNAcentral's name for it is "long non-coding RNA (TPRA_LNC005211)". The record is from RNAcentral. Lineage: Eukaryota; Viridiplantae; Streptophyta; Magnoliopsida; Fabales; Fabaceae.
AGCUUUUUUUAUAAUGGUGUGUGAAUGGUGAGAGAGUAAAAGAGAAGAUGAAGAAAUGUUGUUGUUUUUGGUUUUGUUGGAAUUUUUUGUUGUUGAUGCAACAAUGGCAAUAAUGGAAGCUACAAUGAGAAGAGUUGUGAAAAGGGAGAUGAAGAGUUUUUUCUUGUUGCCGGAAUUCGAGAUUCCGGCAAGAGAUUGUUUUAUUUUGUUCAUCAUUUUGGUUUGUAAGGAAAUGUAUUGGAAGAAGAAGAUGAAGGAGAAGGAGAAAGGUGUGGUGUAGAAAGAAAGGGGAAGAACAAGUUAUUUAUAUUGUUGGAAUUAGAAUAAUAAUUGUACUAUUGUUGUUGAUUAAUAUAUUAAUUAAUCAUAUAAAUAAUGAAUUAGUAAUUUGGGUUAUGAAUCUUUAAGUAGGUGGUUAGAGCAUCGAUCUUUCGAUAUUGUGUAUAGAGAAAAUUCGGUUAGAAGAAAAAAAAA